This 7030-nucleotide long non-coding RNA is filed under the name Homo sapiens (human). RNAcentral's name for it is "HSALNT0030816". Lineage: Eukaryota; Metazoa; Chordata; Mammalia; Primates; Hominidae. The record is from RNAcentral.
CGGCGAUUCAGCUGCGCCCUGCGCCGUGCUGCUGCCGUGGCCACCCUUCGCUGCGUCUUCUGCCGUUCCCUUGUCCUCUACCUCUGUCUGUCGGUCUCCGGGCCUUCCACCCGCCGGCUGUUUCUCUUUUGGUCUCCCUCUCUGUGUCUCCCCAUCUUUCUCCCUCUCUGUGUUUUUAUCUCUGUCUCUCCCCGGCGUUCUGUUAUCUGUCUGUCCCAUUCUCUCUGCCCCUCUGCCCCGAGGCCUUCUGCCUCUGUGUCUCUGUCCCCUGGGCCUCUCCCAUGGCGGGGGUUCAGCCUGCCCCUCACUGGCUCCACGUGGGGUCCCAGCUUAAGCUGAGCAUCAGCUUCCCCAGCCCAGCAGCCUCGGGCCUCCGUUCUCUCCCCGCUGGGGACCCCAGGGUCCUGGCCCCUUCUAAGGAAACCAAGGAAGCUCUGGGGCCGGGCCAUGCCUCCUAAAUGGUUUUGGGGAAAGCUCCAAAACAGAGAAGUGCCUCAAGAUGUCCGGUGCUGGCCCAGGUGUUGGGGGAGGGGGCGGGGAGGGCUCCUGCAGCAGCUCCUGCUGGUGUGCUGUGGCCAGGUCAGAAACGGGAGCCACUCUGAAGUAAUCUCAGCCUUGGGGACAGCCAAGGAGAGAGUCUGGUUUGUGCUUGACUAGUUCCAGACCAGCCACCAUAGAGUCCAGACAACUGCUUUUCUAGAAUUCACUGUGAAUAUGUGUCUAAAGGGUGCUGGACAGGCCACAGAAUGGGUCUUUUUGGCAGAAGAAAUUCAUUCAUUCAUUCAUUUUAGGGCCCAAGAAAUUCAUUCAUUCAUUCACUCAUUCGCUCAGCAAGUAUUUACAGAAUGUUUACUAUGUGCCAGAGAUUGUUCUAAGCAGCAAGGAGAAAGCCAUGAACAAAAUGAAGAUCGUUGUGCUGCAUUCUAGCAGGGAAGGCACAUGGGUGAAAGGUCCCAGUCGCUGGGAGACGCCGAGACCCACUGAGGCCCGGUGGUGGCCCCCAGCUCACUGAGGGGCAAUGGCCGGGAAGAGGUUGGCUGAAAGACUUGUGCUGCAGGAAAACUCCUCCUGUCCCUCAUUUUGCUUCCCUUUUUCUCAUCACUGUCAGGGGUUUUCUGACAAUGAUGACCUUUGAGCCACAAAUAAACCACACAGCCACAUGGGAGGGGUCCUGACCAGGGCCUGGUGGUCUGUGUCCCAGGGAGAAGUACAGCCCUCCUGUCUGCAGAGAAAGUGAGGACUUCUUUACAUCAAGGUAAUUGAGGGAGAAGGAUUAGUGAGUUUUCUGAGCUCAUAAAUCACAAAACAACCCAGUGGUGUUGUGGGUGUCCAAAUCAGGGGGGCAAGAAAGACAGAAAAGGGCAAAAAAAAAACCACAAACAAAAACACUCUGGUGGGGUCAUGUUGGCUUUGGACAAAGCAAGAGAACCUGGGGCGUAGCCGAGGCGGGACUAAAGGAAACACCGUAAGACCCAGAGGUGCUGGGGCUGAGAUUUAGGGCACUGAGGGAGUUUGAGAGCCAGCCAGCGGGCGCCAUCACGAGUGUGUUGGGUAUACGUGGUUUGUGUGUGGCAUAUGGGAGGAUGGAGCAGGCCCGUGUGACCUUCCUCAACCUCUCCCGCCAGCUGGCUCCCCUGCCCUCAGUGCCCUACCUGGCAGAACCUGGUCCUGGCUGAACUACCACUGAGCUUAUGUGACCCCUCAUCCUGCCAAGCCAAGGUGGGGCUGGCCAGGUUUAUGGGCCCAGACACCUUCACACCUGGACCUUUUCCCCUUGGGACUUUGAGAAGCAGACAAGUGCCACAAUUCUGUGUGGGGCUAAAGGAAGAAAUCCCCAGCUAGGUCCGGGAGACGGUGUGUUCCUCAUGGCCCUGCCCCUCACUAACUGGGGGCCAUAAGCGCACCAUUUGCCCUCUCUGGGCCUCACUUUCCAUACUUGGAGAAUAGGAAUGGUACUAAUAAUCGUCCCUCUUCACAGGGUUACAGUAAGGAUAGAUGAGACUGAGAUGUAAAAUGUAUUCUGUCAGCCAGUGAUCACAUCUUGUUUGACCAAUACAUGUAAAAUUUUGACCUAUUACUCACACAUAUAAUCGAAACAAAAGUUUAUACUUAUCUGUUAUAUUCUGUUGAAUGCAUUGAUCUAGUCUAUCCUGUUCUGUUUCUUUCUAUUUUUUAAAAAAUCACAGAUCAUAAUGCACUGGGUCUUGAACUACAGUUUCAGAAACACUGUCAUAAACCAUGGAAGGGGAUAUAAAAGCAUUUGUGGUUUCAUCACCUAGAGAGCUUGCUGGAAGUGGGGCCUGGAGUAGCCUUGGGAGCUGCCACCCUAGGCACACCAAUGGUGACCCCAGUGCCACUCAUCACUGGCCUAUGUGGGCCUGCUCCUCUGUGGUGGACUUGAACCUUACUGCUCCAGCCAUCUCCCCUGCCUGCCUGUCAAGCCUCGCUGUUGACUGUAGUCAUCUUCAUGCCAAAGGCCAGACAUAGCCUGCGAGACUUGGAUGGGACCUCGAGGGUCAUCUCAUCUCUCACUUUAUAUAGGAGAAAACUGAGGCCCAGCCAAGGAAAGUGACUUAUUCAAGGCUGCCCAGUGAAUGGGUGGCAGAACCAGAACUAGAGUUCAGAUGUCCCUCUGUCAGCCCAAGGCUUGUUUUCAUUACGGCCUUGUUAUCUGCCUGAUUGCAAACCCAAUCCCCCCUUCUCUCUAUGUCUUGGGUUCGGGAACCACUCCUGGCCUGAGCAGAGCAGGAAUAAAGCAGCAGGGCCAGUCUAAAGUCUGCACAUACUAACCAUGUGGCCAAAGGCAGGCCUGUUAAUACUUCUAAGCCUCAGUCUCCUUCUCUAUAGAGUGGGAAUGAUGUUUUCUGCUCUUCCUAACACACAGGGUUGCUUUGUAAAUUAAAUGAGAUAAUGUGCAUCAAAUAGGCUUUGAAAAACCUUUUAAAUAUGCUUAAAAUGGAAGGGUUCUUGAGGGUUGGGGUAUGGUUGAAUAGGUGAAGCACAGGGGUUUUCUUAGGUGGGUGAAAUUAUUCUGUAUGAUAUUGCAGGUAGAUACCUGACACUAUGUACUUGUCAAGACCUGUAGAAAUGUAUAGCACAAAGAGUACAUUUUUACACAAAAUAAAAGAAUCAUUUAGGAGAUCAGAGGAUACGAAGAUGGAAUGCAAAAUGUGACAAAACUAUUUAACUGGAUUAAAAACAUGUAAAACAACUUCACUGAAGUGGGGGAGGGGUGGGAGUUUUUGAUCUAAGCAACUUUGGAAAUGAGUGGAGUCUAUAAGACUAAAGACUAAAGAAACUGUGCCUAAGCACUAUACUCUAGUUGAUAAAGUAGCUUCUCAUGGAGUGUGGUUAACAAUUCCAGUACCACUAUACAUGUGUAUUGGAACUGAAUGAGUAAGUCAAUGGAUAGUGGAUGGUAACAGACAGGUUUCUCACUGUGGGAGUGGAAGGUUACAGACAGGCAAGGGGAGAAGGCUAGAAUGAUCCUUGUGAUAAUUUAUUAGAGUUGUAAUAUUAGUAUGAAAUCAAGUUUAGAUUGCACUCCAUCCAGGGCAACAAGAGCGGAACUCCGUCUCAAAAAAAAAAAGGUACCUCUCCCUCUCCCUCCCCCUCCCCCUCCCCCUCUCCCUCUCCCUACGGUCUCCCUCUCCCUCUUUCCACGGUCUCCCUCUGAUGCCGAGCCAAAGCUGGACUGUACUGCUGCCAUCUCGGCUCACUGCAACCUCCCUGCCUGAUUCUCCUGCCUCAGCCUGCUGAGUGCCUGCGAUUGCAGGCGCGCGCCGCCACGCCUGACUGGUUUUCGUAUUUUUUUGGUGGAGACGGGGUUUCGCUGUGUUGGCUAGGCUGGUCUCCAGCUCCUAACCGCGAGUGAUCCGCCAGCCUCGGCCUCCGGAGGUGCCGGGAUUGCAGACGGUGUCUGGUUCACUCAGUGCUCAAUGGUGCCCAGGCUGGAGUGCAGUGGCGUGAUCUCGGCUCGCUACAACCUCCACCUCCCAGCCGCCUGCCUUGGCCUCCCAAAGUGCCCAGAGUGCAGCCUCUGCCCACCCCGUCUAGGAAGUGAGGAGCGUCUCUGCCUGGCCGCCCAUCGUCUGGGAUGUGAGGAGCCCCUCUGCCUGGCUGCCCAGUCUGGAAAGUGAGGAGCGUCUCUGCCCCGCCGCCAUCCCACCUAGGAAGUGAGGAGUGCCUCUUCCUGGCCGCCAUCCCAUCUAGGAAGUGAGGAGCGUCUCUGCCCGGCCGCCCAUCGUCUGAGAUGUGGGGAGCGCCUUUGCCCCGCCGCCCCGUCUGGGAUGUGAGGAGCGCCUCUGCCCGGCCGCGACCCCGUCUGGGAGGUGAGGAGCGUCUCUGCCCAGCUGCCUCGUCUGAGAAGGGAGGAGACCCUCCGCCCGGCAGCCGCCCCAUCUGAGAAGUGAGGAGCCCCUCCGCCCGGCAGCCGCCCCGUCCGGGAGGGAGGUGGGGGUCAGCCCCCGCCAGGCCAGCCGCCCCGUCUGGGAGGGAGGUGGGGGGGUCAGCCCCCCGCCCGGCCAGCCACCCCGUCCGGGAGGUGAGGGGCGCCUCUGCCCGGCCGCCCCUACUGGGAAGUGAGGAGCCCCUCUGCCCGGCCACCACCCCGUCUGGGAGGUGUGCCCAACAGCCCAUUGAGAACGGGCCAUGAUGACAAUGGUGGUUUUGUGGAAUAGAAAGCGGGGAAAGGUGGGGAAAAGAUUGAGAAAUCGGAUGGUUGCCGUGUCUGUGUGGAAAGGAGUAGACAUGGGAGACUUUUCAUUUUGUUCUGUACUAAGAAAAAUUCUUCUGCCUUGGGAUCCUGUUGAUCUGUGACCUUACCCCCAACCCUGUGCUCUCUGAAACAUGUGCUGUGUCCACUCAGAGUUAAAUGGAUUAAGGGCGGUGCAAGAUGUGCUUUGUUAAACAGAUGCUUGAAGGCAGCAUGCUCGUUAAGAGUCAUCACCACUCCCUAAUCUCAAGUACCCAGGGACACAAACACUGUGGAAGGCCGCUGGGUCCUCUGCCUAGGAAAACCAGAGACCUUUGUUCACUUGUUUAUCUGCUGACAUUCCCUCCACUAUUGUCCUAUGACCCUGCCAAGUCCCCCUCUGUGAGAAACACCCAAGAAUGAUCAAUAAAAAAAAAAAAAAGUAAAAAAAAAAAAAAAAAAGAAAUCAAGUUUAAUAUAGAUACAGAUAGUGACAUAUAGGAAUAUUUAUAUGUUUGUGUAUAUCUGUUGUGAUAUACAUACAGGUUAGUAGAUACACAUGUAUUUCUAUGCUCUGUCAGCUAAGAGGGCCUAGAAGUAAUGACAGCCCAGUAGCUGUGAGCACACUUAGUGCUCAGAUUUUGGCUUCUAAUAUCAUUCUCCAAUUUUAAAAACCCCCACAAAAACCAGGGCUUCUUGUAAAAAUGGCUGAUUCUAGGAUUGGAACAGGAAAUGUACAAGAUGAACCUGGAACAUCUUGUAGUGCCAGAAAGUAAGGAAGAUCUGAGGAAGAAAUGAUGGGAGUAUGUCAAAGGGACACAGGAGACAACUGGUAGAGCUCCAGUGGCUAAAGCUGGAACAAAGUGAGCAAUAAAAUAAAUACAGUAGUAUUGGAUAAUUACCCAAAGUAGAAGAGAAAUAUCCCGGCUCACGCCUGUAAUCCCAGCACUUUGGGAGGCCAAGGCAGGCAGAUCAUGAGGUCAGGAGUUCAAGACCAUCCUGGCUAACAUGGUGAAACCCCAUCUCUACUAAAAAUACAAACAACUAGCCAGGUGUGGUGGCAGGCACCUGUAGUCCCAGCUACUCAGGAGGCUGAGGCAGGAUAAUCACUUGAACCCAGGAGGCAGAGGUUGCAGUGAGCCGAGAUCAUGCCACCGCACUCCAGCCUGGGCAACAGAGCAAGACUCCAUCUAAAAAAAAAGAGAAAUAUCCAUGAGUUUGAACUUAUAUAAAUAAAUGGCUACAUAGAGAAAAGGGGGAGAAGAUACAAAAAUACAGAAUUGCAGAUGAUAUUCACAGAUACUCAAGGAUGAGCAUAGCUCCCUGCUCCUUAAAUGUGGGCUCCACAUAGCAACUUACCUCCAAACAGUAUACACGGAAAGGGGAAGAAAGAAUAACUUCAUAGUGGAGAAACCUGACAAACACUACUUCUGUUAACUGUGAACGCAGUUGACAUCGACAGUGACAGGUCAUGGUGGUGGCAUAUACUCUUGAUAGGAUGUAAUGAAAGUGGCACUUCACCUUUGAGGUCUUGCUCCCUCAAACCCAUAACCUAAAACAUCAGACAAAUCCCAGCUGAGGAACAUUCUACAAAAUACCUGACCAAUACUCCUUGAAAUCAUCAAGAUCAUCAAAAACAAGAAAAGUCUGAGAAACUGUCACAGCCAAGGGAGACCUAAGAAGACAUGAUGGCCAAAUGUAAUGCUGCAUCCUAGAACAGAAAAAGGAUAUUAGGUUAAAAAAAAAAACAACUAAGGAAAUCUGAAUAAAGUAUGAACAUAGUUUAAUAAUAAUGUUAAUCUUGUAGGGCUGAUAUCAAUAGCAGUUUAUUAAUUGUGGCAAAUGUACCGUACUAAAUGUAAGAUGAUGAUAAUAGGGGAAAUUGGGUGUGGAGAAUAUGGGAACUCUCUGUAUUAUCUUUGCCAUUUUUCUUUAAAACUUUUCUAAAGUAAAAAUUUUAUAUCGAAAAUUGAAAGCCUUACAUUGGUAAUUAUUCACAGCUUAUGGCUAAGACAGGUGGAAUUGGGAGAAUGCCCUGGGAAGGUUUCAAGGAAGUACAAGGGAGGAUUUGGGGAACUGCUCAGGGGUGAGAAAUACAGCUUGGGAGACAGGGCGGAGGGGAAGCUCGGUGCACAUCCCAGACUGAGGAGGUGUCAGAGGGAAAGGGUCCUUGGGACAGGGUGUCUUGGGACCCUUUCCUGCCUGGGAGGGCUUCUGGAGGAGGAGGUGAGUGGAUGGGGAGUGACAGCCUGGCUCUUUGCUCUCCUACCUUAUCCUGACCCACCUUGCCACAUCUCUGGGGCCAGCCCUGCUCCUUAUCUGGAGGCAACCCAUCAG